AACGCCUUGGGUUCCAGCGCGCUCUUCCGAUAACGCUGACGGAAAGAAUCGUGUAACCUCGCGUAACCUCGUUGUCUUCGCGAAAGGUCGAGAAAUACGUAGUAGCCGCUCCCCAAGCAUGACGGGUGCAGAGAAAAUCAAACGUUGCAGAGGAGGAUCUUUAUAAGAGCAACCAGCCGGCCAGUGCAUGGACGGUGACGUCGGGAAAGACGCAUCUCGCCGAAGCAACUCAGGCUGCUUCUGUAGAAGGGAUCACAGAGUGGCUGAAAGAAUGCUGGACGGCCCCGUGGCUCUUGGUUCCAACAACGCGGAGGCGGACAACCGGGCCAAGUUCCACUUCCCAGCGAA
Molecule: long non-coding RNA, 348 nt
Organism: Dermacentor silvarum
Lineage: Eukaryota; Metazoa; Arthropoda; Arachnida; Ixodida; Ixodidae
Exons: 3
Source: RefSeq, a predicted model, not a curated record